AUUAGUGGCGAACGGGUGAGUAACACGUGAGUAACCUGCCCUUGACUCUGGGAUAAGCGUUGGAAACGACGUCUAAUACCGGAUACGAGCUUCAGCCGCAUGGCUAGGAGCUGGAAAGAAUUUCGGUCAAGGAUGGACUCGCGGCCUAUCAGCUUGUUGGUGAGGUAAUGGCUCACCAAGGCGACGACGGGUAGCCGGCCUGAGAGGGUGACCGGCCACACUGGGACUGAGACACGGCCCAGACUCCUACGGGAGGCAGCAGUGGGGAAUAUUGCACAAUGGGCGCAAGCCUGAUGCAGCAACGCCGCGUGAGGGACGACGGCCUUCGGGUUGUAAACCUCUUUUAGCAGGGAAGAAGCGCAAGUGACGGUACCUGCAGAAAAAGCACCGGCUAACUACGUGCCAGCAGCCGCGGUAAUACGUAGGGUGCAAGCGUUGUCCGGAAUUAUUGGGCGUAAAGAGCUCGUAGGCGGUCUGUCGCGUCUGCUGUGAAAACGCGAGGCUCA
RNAcentral lists this ribosomal RNA (506 nucleotides) under bacterium EP2.26. RNAcentral describes it as "bacterial SSU rRNA". It matches the Rfam family "Bacterial small subunit ribosomal RNA", at positions 91 to 611 of the family's 1533-position model. The record is from RNAcentral.